Molecule: transfer RNA, 73 nt
Organism: Ovis aries (sheep)
Lineage: Eukaryota; Metazoa; Chordata; Mammalia; Artiodactyla; Bovidae
Rfam family: tRNA
About the family: Transfer RNA (tRNA) molecules are approximately 80 nucleotides in length. Their secondary structure includes four short double-helical elements and three loops (D, anti-codon, and T loops). Further hydrogen bonds mediate the characteristic L-shaped molecular structure. tRNAs have two regions of fundamental functional importance: the anti-codon, which is responsible for specific mRNA codon recognition, and the 3' end, to which the tRNAs corresponding amino acid is attached (by aminoacyl-tRNA synthetases). tRNAs cope with the degeneracy of the genetic code in two manners: having more than one tRNA (with a specific anti-codon) for a particular amino acid; and 'wobble' base-pairing, i.e. permitting non-standard base-pairing at the 3rd anti-codon position.
Source: Rfam
UCCCUGGUGGUCCAGUGGCUAAUGCUCUGCACUCCCAAUGCAGGGGCCUGGGGUUCAAUCCCUGGUCAGGGAA